GCAUCAAUUAGCUCAGUUGGUUAGAGCAUGGUGCUAAUAAUGCUAAGGUCACGGGUUCAAUCCCUGCUCACUGCA
Pelecanus crispus (Dalmatian pelican) is the source of this 75-nucleotide non-coding RNA. The record is from Rfam. NCBI's taxonomy places the organism in Eukaryota, Metazoa, Chordata, Aves, Pelecaniformes, Pelecanidae.